GAUCAUGGCUCAGGACGAACGCUGGCGGCGUGCCUAACACAUGCAAGUCGAACGGAACUGUUUUGAAAGAUUUCUUCGGAAUGAAUUUGAUUUAGUUUAGUGGCGGACGGGUGAGUAACGCGUGAGUAACCUGCCUUCAAGAGGGGGAUAACAUUCUGAAAAGAAUGCUAAUACCGCAUGAUAUAUCGGAACCACAUUGGUUUUGAUAUCAAAGUAUUUUAUCGCUUAGAAGAUGGACUCGCGUCCGUA
This 249-nucleotide ribosomal RNA is filed under the name uncultured bacterium. Its description in RNAcentral is "partial 16S ribosomal RNA". It matches the Rfam family "Bacterial small subunit ribosomal RNA", at positions 15 to 241 of the family's 1533-position model. The record is from RNAcentral.